CAAUAGCGUAUAUUUAAGUUGUUGCAGUUAAAAAGCUCGUAGUUGGAUUUCUGCUGAUCGCUGUCGGUCUGCCGUCAGGUGUGUACUGGCAGUGUUUGGCAUCUAUUCGAGAUUGGGUGUCCACUUGAUUGUGUGCACUCGAUGUCGGAGCUAAUACUUUGAGAAAAUUAGAGUGUUCCACGCAGGCGCGUGCCUUGAAUACUGCAGCAUGGGAUAUUGGAAGGCCGAUUGAGCUUUCUUGUUGGUUCUCGGUUUGAUCGGAAUGAUUAAUAGGGAUAGUUGGGGGCAUUCGUAUUCAACUGUCAGAGGUGAAAUUCUUGUAUUUGUUGAAGACGGACUACUGCGAAAGCAUCUGCCAUGGAUGUUCUCAUUGA
RNAcentral lists this ribosomal RNA (374 nucleotides) under uncultured eukaryote. Its description in RNAcentral is "partial 18S ribosomal RNA". It matches the Rfam family "Eukaryotic small subunit ribosomal RNA", at positions 592 to 976 of the family's 1831-position model. The record is from RNAcentral.